Molecule: ribosomal RNA, 301 nt
Filed under: uncultured bacterium
Lineage: Bacteria
Description: partial 16S ribosomal RNA
Rfam family: Bacterial small subunit ribosomal RNA
Source: RNAcentral
CAGUAGCCGCGGUAAUACGGAGGGUGCAAGCGUUAAUCGGAAUUACUGGGCGUAAAGCGCACGCAGGCGGUCUGACAAGUCAGAUGUGAAAUCCCCGGGCUUAACCUGGGAACUGCAUUUGAAACUGUCAGGCUGGAGUCUUGUAGAGGGGGGUAGAACUCCAGGUGUAGCGGUGAAAUGCGUAGAGAUCUGGAGGAAUACCGGUGGCGAAGGCGGCCCCCUGGACAAAGACUGACGCUCAGGUGCGAAAGCGCGGGGAGCAAACAGGAUUAGAUACCCCUGUAGUCCCUGUCUCUUAUAA